CCAUGACAACCCAAGUCUGAUAUUAGUAAUCAGAGGUGCAGUGCAAUGCGCUCUUCUGUGCUUCCACUGGAGCAGUCACCCACUCAUAGUCUAAUAACCACGGUGUCUGUCCCCCGACUCAGAUCGGUUAAAUCAAAGGGGAGCAAAAGAUGCGCUACACUUAACAC
Molecule: long non-coding RNA, 167 nt
Organism: Etheostoma spectabile (orangethroat darter)
Lineage: Eukaryota; Metazoa; Chordata; Actinopteri; Perciformes; Percidae
Exons: 4
Source: RefSeq, a predicted model, not a curated record